GAUGAAGAACGUAGCGAAAUGCGAUAAGUAGUGUGAAUUGCAGAAUUCCGUGAAUCAUCGAAUCUUUGAACGCACAUUGCGCCUUCUGGUAUUCCGGAAGGCAUGCCUGUUCGAGAGUCAUUAACAACCGUUUCGAUCCCUUUCUUUCAGAAAUUACAAAGAGGAAAAGGGUUUGGUUAUGGUGGAGGAGGGAAAGGGAGCGUUUAGCCUGUAAAAAAAGAGGCUGUGUUCCGCCUCCCCCCCAAAAUUGUACAGGCUGUCGUGUGCGCCCACGCAUCGAGGUGUUGUAAAAGCUGCCACGGCACUUUUCACCUGUGCAGUGCGAGAUUGGCCAGCCGGUUUAAAAACCCCUCCAAACAAUCAAAGGUUGACCUCGGAUCAGGUAGGGAUACCCGCUGAACUUAAGCAUAUCAAUAAGCGGAGGA
RNAcentral lists this unclassified non-coding RNA (425 nucleotides) under soil metagenome. Its description in RNAcentral is "partial contains 5.8S ribosomal RNA, internal transcribed spacer 2, and large subunit ribosomal RNA". The stretch from base 1 to 120 matches the Rfam family "5.8S ribosomal RNA", at positions 35 to 154 of the family's 154-position model. The record is from RNAcentral.